UACACCUUUUCUUCUAUAAAAGAGUAUUGUGCAUCAUCACAGCGAACAAUAUUUUGACCAGUUGAUUUUCCUCGGUAGACUAUACUCAUAAAGAGUAUAGUUUGGUCAGGGAGAGAGCUAGUAUUUUAAUGUAUGUGUAUUUUGUAUGAACAGCAGUUCAAGCAGUUUGCUUGUCCGUGUUCUUGAAAUGUGAACAGUAAAUGUUGCCUCAGCAUAAUGGACGGGUAGACUAGCAACACCAAGCGCAAGACAAACUGUACAUUUUAAGACAUAUUGCACUAAGCUUAUGCCGCACAUGCAUUGGCAGAGAAUCAAUACCGCAUUUCAACCUAAAAGCCUACACGGACAGUCGGACAGUAAUUAGUAAUUACAAAUACAAUCAGGUAGAUCAGUAAUUACUACAAUCUAUUAUUAGUGUGGUUUCAAAGCAAGCCACACUUGGGUCACUGAAACAGCUACCACAAUAGAUGGUCCACAUUCCAUCACCAAAGGUAGGGAGACAGCAUUGCACUAUAUACACAAAUGUAUAUACAUACCAUAUUCCCACGCCCAAAGAAACAAUGUUCAACUUUCCUUUCACGGAUGCUAUUGUACAAUUGGGAUUAUUUGAAUGUAGCUCAACUUUCAGUAUGUUAUUCAUAU
Long non-coding RNA from Gadus macrocephalus (Pacific cod), 642 nucleotides. RefSeq lists it as uncharacterized. The record is from RefSeq and is a predicted model, not a curated record. Lineage: Eukaryota; Metazoa; Chordata; Actinopteri; Gadiformes; Gadidae. The transcript has 2 exons.